UCCUAGUACGAGAGGACCGGAGUGGACGCAUCACUGGUGUUCGGGUUGUCAUGCCAAUGGCACUGCCCGGUAGCUAAAUGCGGAAGAGAUAAGUGCUGAAAGCAUCUAAGCACGAAACUUGCCCCGAGAUGAGUUCUCCCUGAGACUUWRRGUCUCCUGAAGGAACGUUGAAGACGACGACGUUGAUAGGCCGGGUGUGUAAGCGCAGCGAUGCGUUGAGCUAACCGGUACUAAUGAACCGUGAGGCUUAACCUU
This 255-nucleotide ribosomal RNA is filed under the name Salmonella enterica subsp. enterica serovar Oranienburg. RNAcentral describes it as "partial 23S ribosomal RNA". Lineage: Bacteria; Pseudomonadati; Pseudomonadota; Gammaproteobacteria; Enterobacterales; Enterobacteriaceae. RNAcentral also lists the same sequence under 2 other names. The record is from RNAcentral.